Cuculus canorus (common cuckoo) is the source of this 5616-nucleotide RNA transcript. It is a transcript of the gene named zinc finger FYVE-type containing 19, with no coding region annotated. Lineage: Eukaryota; Metazoa; Chordata; Aves; Cuculiformes; Cuculidae. The transcript has 13 exons. The record is from RefSeq and is a predicted model, not a curated record.
CUUGCGCCGCGGCGGGAGGGCCUCCCCGAGCGCCUUCUUUCCGCGGCGGAGAGACGACGCGACAGCCGCGGAACUCGGCGUGGCGGGGGCGCCUCCGGUAGCGCCAUGGGCAGUCGGUGCUACGGGUGUGCGGCCAAGUUCUCUGUCUUCAAGAAAGAGUGUGGAUGCAAGAACUGCGGGCGGUUGUUCUGCUCAGGCUGCCUUAGCUUCAGUGCUGUUGUUCCCCACUGUGGAAGCACGCAGCAGAAGGUGUGCAAGCAGUGUCAUGGAAAACUAACUGGAGAGGCAUCUCAAAGCAGUUCAGCAAAAUGGUCACCACCGGAAAACUACAAAAAGCGUGUAGCAGCUUUUGAGGCUAAGCAAAACCAGCUGAAAGAACAACAGAAGACGGCUGCAAAAUCACCAGGUCAAGCAGCCUACAAAUACAAGGGGCUCUCAAAAGAGGAUAGAGCUAUUGCAGAGAGACUGGAGAGGCUGAGAGAGGAAAGGAAACCAAAGUGCAUCCCUACUCAGGCUGAGAUUGAAGCUAGGCUGGCUGCCCUGAAGGAAGACUGCCGGGGACCUGUUCCAUCCACCCAGGAAAUGGAGGAGCGUUUGGCUGUCCUGCAGGGGAGAGAUCCACCUUCCCAGGCUCCCAGACCCGUACACCAUCCUCCUGAUACCAGAAGUCUGGUCCAGCAGACAGAUGACUUGUUAACUCAACUGUCUGAGGAAGUUGCCAUUGAUGAACAUUACAGACCAAGAAUCCAGCCUCGAGCUGUUAGUAGCCAAAGUCUGAAUGAUCUCAAUCGGGAAGGCGAAGACUUUGUUUGCCCUGAAAAUAUGGACCCAAAACAGGUAGAGGAAGAAAAGAAUAAACUUCUGGCAGAAGCUGCUGCAGAGCUGCGGGAAGAGAACACUAGGCAGGAAAAGAUCCUACAAGUUGCCAAGAGGCUGGCAGCACUCAGAGGCGAGGACCCAGAGAAAGUUACACUGGAAAGCUAUGAACUCCCUGACAGUGAUGAGGACGUGGCUGAGGAGGAAGUUAUUCACAGAGUGCUAAAACAGCUCACAGAGGAAGCAGCCCUGGACGAGGCUAGUGGAUUCAACAUUCCUCCAGAUCAGACCACCCAACUAAGACCCUCACAACAGAACCUGCGUAAGAAAGCAAAGCAAAAGAGCUGGACUCCAACCAGCACAGCUCUUGCCGAGGCAGAUGACAGUGACAAGGAUGAGUUACCCUGGUGCUGUAUCUGCAAUGAAGAUGCCACUUUGCGCUGCCAUGGCUGUGAUGGGGAUCUCUACUGCCAGCGCUGUUUUCGGGAAGGCCAUGAUGAGUUUGACCUGAAGGACCACCACACCUCUCGCUAUCAUCUUCCUUGCAAGUCAAAGUGAUCACACUCUUCAUGGACAGAAAAGGAGAUGGAAAAGAGAGAAGUUGGCCAGAUGGAAAGAGUACAAGAGCCCCUCUGGAUGUGACUCAGCAACUCAUCUCCAGAGUCUGAGUGGCCGGCCUGAGAGCACAGGGGCAGGACAUAUUGUGAGAUUCUGCUCUGCCUAAGCACUCUGCCUCCAUUUGCUGUCUUGUUUCCUACCACGUGUCAAGUUACUGACUUGCUGAGAAGAUGGAUGUAGUUUCCUCUGUAUUUUUCCAGCCACGUUAGUUGUAGCCAGAAGAGUUUGUGCAGCAAGACAAGACUUCACUUCUUAUUUGUGAGAUCUACCUAUCUGCAAAAGACUCACUUUGAGAUGCUCCCUGCAGGGAAAUUUGGAGCAGUGGAUGGAAAGAAAGAAGUCGUGAUGAACUCCUGAGAACUCUAUUCAGUGCUCCUUGGCCAGCACAGCAAUUCCUAGAAGAAACUAAAGGAAGGACAUCUUGUCCUGUUCCGCAGGUUAACAUGCCCUUUAAGAAUCAGGAAAAUGUACAAUAUAGCUCCCUGCUGUGUGCAUGAAUCUGGAAGGAGCGGAGACUUCAAACCACUGGUACAAAUCUCACAAGCUUGGUGAUGUUUCUCAAUAACAGUAAGUCCUAAACAUAUUCUGAAGUGGUGUUGCUGAUCCUGGGUUUUGUGGGGAAGAUAUCCAUUUCCUUGUGACCAAAGCUAGGUGUUCUGUGUGGGCAAGGUCAUUUCUUCUGAGGAUUGGUGACCCUUCGGAGACCUCUCAAUCGACUAAGCAAUUCCGUAAUGAAGUCCUGCAAUGAGAAUUGGUUGAAGAAGAAUGCCAUGUUAAUUCCAGUGCUCAUGGGCCCAAAGGGUUAUAUGAUGCUUGCAUUAUUCCCGCAUUCGCCUUCAUGUUGAGCAGAAACCGCAUUUUGACAUGUAUUGAUCAAACCUAUCUUUUAGCUUAGGAAAGUAGACAUUUUGACAUGUAUUGACCAAACCUAUCUUUUAGCUUAGGAAAGGAGACUUUUUGAUGGAUGAGAAGGGUCGAAAAGCCCCUUCACUUCCACUGUCUCCCUCUGGAGCAGCCAUGUUUACUUUCUCCCCAGGAGUCAGCCUGCCCCUCUUCAUCCCAGAUACCUGCUUUUUCCACCUUGAGAUGACUUCAGGAUGCUGUUGUUCUCUGUUAUGUUCCACUGCUUCCUGUUACCACCAUAACCUCCUGCCCACUUGUGCUGCCCUUCCAAUCUAGGGCAAAGCAAGCUGUCCCUCCUGUUGAACCUGUAAAGCUCCAUGUUGUGGAUUGCAAACCAUCCUGGAGCUGUGCCAAUUCUACAAGGAAGUGGCUGGCAGAGAAGAGGUGGAGCAAAAUGCACGUAGGACUAAUGAUAACCUGGAGCAGGGGUUAAGGAGAGGCAGAAUAGAUAGAUGAGCAGUUAAUGGAGAUAAACCCCCACUACGUUGCUGACACAGCCAAGGACUAUGAAACAAACUGGACCAUCUGGUUAGUCCAAGUAGAAGUCAGUGUAACUAAUGCAAACUUUACCCUCUGCGUGACAAAUAAUAUCACCAUAAAGGAGUGCACAGCCUUUUUUUUUUACCCAAAGAGAUAGCCAUGUCUCCUUGUAAUUAGAAAAGGCCACUGGAAGUAUUGCAGCUUGUUACCAUUUGGGCUGUGUGGAAGUCCAUCUUCCUCACUUGGGUGCUCAGAGGUUGCCUGCCUCAGCGUGCCCCAGAAGUAAAUGCCUGGGAUCAUAAAUACCUUUUCAGUCAGUCCCUUCAGAGGAAGACAUUUUGUUUCCUCUGUCUGCUUUCUGCAAAUAGGCUGCUGUGAUCUUUCUGCAGGACUGGAUUCAAGAUCACCAGGGUGAAAGAACGUAUCUUUGCCAAUGGGGCAGCAGUAUCUGUUCGUAGUUAUUAAUUGCCAUGCUGUCUGCAAGAGACUUUCAUGGCUUAUGAAUCAGUAGAGCAAACUCUUUUCAGUUCUUUCUCUGGGAAUGCAGAAGUCUUGCCUAAGAUCUGAAAUUUAGACGCUCUGAAAACAAUUUCCUAUUGCCAGCCUUGUGUGCCAAACCCCGUGCUAGGAGACUAUCUGUAAUGAUUGCUGCAGCUGAGUUUAAUUUCAAUGAGAGUCACGCAUCCAUCUUGUUUUCUAUAUGUUCGUCCCUGUACAGCUACAUUGACUCAACAAGAUGUGGAGACUGAUAAAUGAUGUCCAAGCACAACGUUCACAUGCAGUGCAUAUGACUGCAGCAGUGAUGAGGGACCCCAUUUUGCACAGGUGUGCAGUGCAGUGAAGGCAAUUGCUGUGUGGUGCAUGUGCUACACUGCAAAGCACUGGGCUUGUGAGAUGUCUUUAACUGUCUUACUCAAAACCAGUGCUUGUAAAGUUCACAUGGGGAAAAAAACCCACAAGUAAAAACUAAUUUAUGUGGCCACUGCUAAACAAUUUCUAUCUGCCCAGUCCAGUCUGAGGGCUGCCCUAUGUUCCUAUCACUCAUCACAUUAAAGCGGUUUAAGCUAAGAAUGCAUUUAGUUAGCAGAGUGCAAGAUGGUUGUGUGAUCUGUGUCACUGUCUGCAGCUUUUCUAUACUGAGGAGCAAAUAGUGACUCAGCCUGGUCAGUUUAGGAUGUCCAAAACAUGGAAUUAACUUUCUUUGGUUGUAAAGCGUAAUUCCUUAUUUUCUCCACUGCUCUGCCUUCAUAGCUUACCCAUGUAGAUUUACAUACAUUUUUCUAACACAGCAGAAUAAAGUGGCAAACAUCCCCCUCUGGGAAUUAAACAAAUCUGCAGCAUCACGUUAAGUGUAGUUGCAGCUGAGCAGCAACAAAGACAGACUCUUACAGCAUAGUAUAACGUAGAUGUAUUGAUGGUGCUUUACUCACCUCUGUCGGGCUAGAGCACUCAUGGAGGAUUUCCUAAAAAUCAAGGAAGAGUCAUUUGAGUAUUUUAUUAGCUGGCCUAUCUCCCCUUCCUACAAAAAGGGUAUGUAAUCUUACUGCAUAUGACAAGCUAAGACACAGAGAAGCAUCAUCCAACACUGUAUACACACAUUCUGUUCCCCCCACACUACUACUUCUCUUUAUGAAGGAAGUCCUUAACUUAACAUCAUCAAGUCCCUCUACCUGACCUGUAGUUUUAAUUUCUGUUCUUCAUUAGGGACUUCCAGAAGGUCUUCUAGAUCAAUUUGUGGUUCAGGAGCUGCUGCCUCUGUUUCCUCUCUCAGCUAAAAAGAAAAACAAAAAUACACAAUAAACCUUCAAACUUAUAAGAGCUCUAGAGGCCAUCUUUAAGGAAGGGAGAAGGAACUAGUUACAAUAAAACUAGUUACAAUAAAACUAUGCUGCCAAUUUAAGGUCAAGAUAUAAAUAAUCUCAGAGUGUUCUUAUAAAGAGGGCAUGGAUUCCAGCCUCUCUAUGGUGUCUGCUACUGCCACACAUCUUGAUGUAUGUGUUCUUCAUGUUUUCCCACCCCAACACUUGAUACCACUGCUCAGUGACUGUUGUCCAUCAUGGGAAGACCCUUUUAAAAAUUGCUGACUGCAAUGCAGUGUAAGCCAAUGUAGGACAACCCUCAUCUAAGAGGAGUGUGCUUAAGCAUUCACCAAACAGAAAUCCAGCAGGCCUAAGCUUAGAAAGGCACAACUAGUACAACGGGAUUUUAGGCUAAAUACUUUCAUAUAGUUGGUAUUUAGACUAAAGCUUUUUGCCAGAAUGGAGAGAAAAACAAUUGAAAGGCCUGACAAUAUUUUGCCGACCUUCUCUAACAGACAUGAGAGGGAUAUAAUAGCCUCCUUCAAGGUAAGAGAGACCCCGAACUUUGGGGAUUGGGGUAAUAAUCUUCUAAUGUAUAGGGUAUUGUUGGAAACAUUUGUAAUCUUGAUGACAUUUUAGCUCUACAUGUCUCUACAACACUAAGGAAGGCAAGCUGUGGUUUCCAAUGUAGUUGCAAAAUGUAUCUUUGACAGCACAACACUAGUGAUAUUUUAACAUAGUAGUCAACGGGAAAAGGAUACAAGGAUACUCAGUAAACAGCACAGUACCUGAUCAUUGUGUAGCAUUUAUGGAUGUGUAUGCAAAACAUUGAACAAUAAAUGCAAUACUUAGAGGGAAAAAAUAAACUUAUUCUGACCAGUCUCUGGUACCAAGCCAGAGAGGAAGUAGAAAACCUUUGUUCAGCUUUGUUACGCAGCUGACUUGACUGCAAGUAAUAAAAAAUGAUUAAACAUAUUCUGCUGUUACCUGCACACCAUUU